This 308-nucleotide ribosomal RNA is filed under the name uncultured bacterium. RNAcentral's name for it is "bacterial SSU rRNA". It matches the Rfam family "Bacterial small subunit ribosomal RNA", at positions 21 to 359 of the family's 1533-position model. The record is from RNAcentral.
GGCUCAGAACGAACGCUGGCGGCGUGCUUAACACAUGCAAGUCGAACGAACCUUCGGGUUAGUGGCGGACGGGUGAGUAACGCGUGAGAAUCUGCCCUCAGGAGGGGGAUAACGGUUGGAAACGACCGCUAAUACCCCAUAUGCCGAGAGGUGAAAAGAAAUUCGCCUGAGGAUGAGCUCGCGUCUGAUUAGCUAGUUGGUGUGGUAAUGGCGCAGCCAAGGCUUCGAUCAGUAGCUGGUCUGAGAGGAUGAUCAGCCACACUGGGACUGAGACACAGACCAGACUCCUACGGGAGUCAGCAGUGGGG